This 76-nucleotide transfer RNA is filed under the name Parvibacter caecicola. Its description in RNAcentral is "tRNA-Asn". It matches the Rfam family "tRNA". From Rfam's summary of the family: Transfer RNA (tRNA) molecules are approximately 80 nucleotides in length. Their secondary structure includes four short double-helical elements and three loops (D, anti-codon, and T loops). RNAcentral also lists the same sequence under 11 other names. The record is from RNAcentral. Lineage: Bacteria; Bacillati; Actinomycetota; Coriobacteriia; Coriobacteriales; Coriobacteriaceae.
UCCUCGGUAGCUCAAUUGGCAGAGCAUCCGGCUGUUAACCGGAGGGUUGUAGGUUCGAGUCCUACCCGAGGAGCCA